CCUCAUCUGACUUGGCCAGCGUUGGCCUAACCUGUUGUCCUGUCAUCAUGAUGUAUUGACCUGAUCUGUUAGCAUUAUUAAAAAUGGGCCUCUCCUGGCUGAUGUUGUGUUAUAAUUUACAGAGACCAUCUCAAAAUUUCAUCCCCUAAGGGAGGAGGCACCUCACCUGUAUUUACUGCUCCUCUUUAGGAUCCCGGGGAACACAGGGGAACCCACCUUUAUUCACUUGUCCUGUGUGAACCCAGGACUGAGAAGUCCUGUCCUGGGACAGUGCCUACUUUUCCCUAAACAAAGUGGCUGACUCAGAGUUCCCUGAAUUUAUUCUUUCCUGCUAUCAUGGAUGGAAACAAAAACAUAUCUCUCCUUGGUGAAUAUCUAUCCUUGGUAUAUAAUUAAUAGAAGAAACAAAAGACCUGUUUAUAUGAGAUGCCCCACUUACUCAAGACAAGUGAACGUAUGCUCUUCUAGUCACCUUGCUUUUGCUCUAUAUACCUGAAAGUCUUUUGAGAAUUGUCUUGAACCCACAUUCUUUCUCUGGCUUGACUUGUUCGAAUUAAUGCCCAAAUGGUCAAAGUUUGGCUCAGGAGCCCCUUGGUCUGGCUCCUUUGUCCUUGCAGCACGGCCCUUGACAUUCUUGAAAGCAUUCUUCUUGACUUUUGGUAACAGCAAGACGUUCCAGAUCUAUUCUAAUUUUUUUUCCUGCCUCAAUACAUAGAAUCCGCUCUCCGUAGAAUCCUCAUUUCUGUUAGUGAUCAGAGACCACAACCUAGGAGCCUGGGGUGCCUGUGAGUAUUGGGGUGGCGGGGGGAUGAGGCACGAGGGAUGGCAAGAGUGCCACCCUGGUGGUAAUGGGAACAGAAAAAGAUUUAUUUUUAAGGUAACGUUUUUAUACUACUCUUUCCAACUUAACAUGACAUACCUUGUAGCUUCCACCUACUUUUCUCACAGCUGAGUCAUCAGUGACCACCAAGCUUUUCUCUGCACCGCCCCCAAUGACGAGCCAUACAUUCAGCUCUCACCUAUUCUCCCCAACCCCUUCCUGCAAGGGGAAGGAAGCUGGACAGAGAUUGAUUUGGCCACUAAUAGCAACUGAGCCACCCAACUCCCCCUUAGAAGGAUGCUACCGGGCAAUGAUUUGGGUUUUAACUGUUCUUUCCAUCACACAUCCAAAGUGGGGCACGAUCAACUUUGGGUUUUGGGUGAUUUCCUCUGGUAGCUGGAUCAAGGAUGGUUCUGAGAAUGGUGGGUAGAGGUAGGAAGGUCCACUGAAGAGUCGGUUGUGGCAGAUCAGAAAGAGAGCCUUGAACCAAGGGAGCAGCAGGAGUGAGGAGGAGGACAGGGCACUGGGGAUGAUUUGGUAUCUGGAGAGUAAAGACAAGGGUGCAUCCCAUGCAUCUGGUUCUCGUCUCUGGUGGUCCCAGCCACGGAGAGAGAGAGAGAGAUUGAACGCUAGGUCUGGGGAGAGUUUGGCUUUGACCUGUUGCAUUCGAGAUGUUUCCAUUCAGAUGGAAAUGUCCAACUGGCAGUUGGACGUAUGGGUCAGAAUUUCUAACCUGAACCACCGAGGAAGCCUCCCAAGCUACGCGCAGGUGGUUUGGGGCUGUCUGUUGCCAAAGGGUGUUCUCCUGGGACCAUCAGCAGCUUGGGCUAUUUGCUUGGGAUGACUUGGAGGCUCAUCUGUUUUUCUAAUUCUCAUUUGGUCAGAGUCCUUGCCAGGAAUCCCUGAUGUUUUCACUUAACACCAGAGUUCUAAAAUCAAAAUUAGCCAACGACCCAAGAGUCUGGGAGUCAGAGAAGGGGCUGACCACCUCUCCAAGGGCCACCUCUAGAGAACAAGGUCAGGGUGGUAGAGGCCUGCAACCAAGGCACAGAGGCUUUUGAGCAAGUCCUGGCCAUUCCAGAAGAUGGUCUCUGUCUCCUGAGGUUUUCCUGAUAUGUUCUGGAGCCUCUGGCAAAACCAUCCAGGUGGCGAAUUAAGAAGGGAUUGUAAAGAAAGACCUCCUAAGCAGCCAUCCUGGGAGUGCUGUGGGGAGCAUCUGGCCUGAGCAUCACCUGCCCCCAAGACCUCGCCUUGGCCAAGAAAAGACACUCCAGCUUCUUCCCUGACUCUCUGCAGAGCUGUGCUCAUCUGAGAGUGUUGUUUGAAUUGAGACAGGCGCUAGGCAACCUGCGUUCACUCAGGAUCUGAACACAGCAACUUGGAUCUCAGUUGUUUACCUAAUCGGGUGUUAGGUUAUUUUUUUUCCCCCUUUCCUGAUUAUAAGAAAUUACCAAGUGUAAUCAACCCUCUCACCCUCAUACCAUUCUCCACACUGAGCCAGAGGAAGUCAGACCUGGAGCAGGGACAGCCCCAGGCUAACAGCUAGUCCUUCCAGCCUCAUUUCUCACCCUUUCCCAACGUAGUGAGUUCCAUGCCCUCGCUGCCUCCCCACUCACCCCAGACAACCCAUCUCAUUCCCAUCUCCCAGCCUGAGCCUCUCCCAUCUCCUCGAGUGCAGGGGCCCUUCUCACUUCUUCGUACCAACUGGGCUCUCACCCACCCGUCAAAGCUGAGCUGGGCCUCCAUUGCUCCCAGCCCACAGUAAUGGGGACCUCAUCGACUCUCCAGAACAAAGUAGAGUGUGACCCAGAGCCUGCCUUCCUAAGGCCUUUUGCCCAGAUGGAGGUACAACAUGGACUUUAAGAAUGACAUUAUGGAGUUCCCGUGGUGGCUCAGUGGUUAAUGAAUCCGACUAGGAACCAUGAAGUUGCCGGUUCGAUCCCUGCCUUUGCCCCGUGGGUUAAGGAUCCAGCGUUGCCGUGAGCUGUAGUGUAGGUUGCAGACGCAGCUUGGAUCUCGCAUUUCUAAGGCUGUGGCGUAGGCCAGCAGCUACAGCUCCAAUUCGACCCCUAGCCUGGGAACCUCCAUAUGCCACAGGAGCGGCCCUAGAAAUGGCAAAAAGACAAAAAAAAAAAAAAAAAAAAAAAAAAA
RNAcentral lists this long non-coding RNA (2971 nucleotides) under Sus scrofa (pig). RNAcentral describes it as "lncRNA (ENSSSCG00015023805.1)". Lineage: Eukaryota; Metazoa; Chordata; Mammalia; Artiodactyla; Suidae. The record is from RNAcentral.